RNAcentral lists this ribosomal RNA (439 nucleotides) under uncultured bacterium. RNAcentral describes it as "partial 16S ribosomal RNA". It matches the Rfam family "Bacterial small subunit ribosomal RNA", at positions 339 to 795 of the family's 1533-position model. The record is from RNAcentral.
CUACGGGGGGCAGCAGUGGGGAAUAUUGCACAAUGGAGGAAACUCUGAUGCAGCAACGCCGCGUGGAGGAUGACACUUUUCGGAGCGUAGACUCCUUUUAUAUAGGAAGAAGAUGACGGUACUAUAUGAAUAAGCGCCGGCUAACUCCGUGCCAGCAGCCGCGGUAAUACGGAGGGCGCAAGCGUUACUCGGAAUCACUGGGCGUAAAGAGCGUGUAGGCGGAUUAAAAAGUCAGAAGUGAAAUCCUAUAGCUUAACUAUAGAACUGCUUCUGAAACUCUUAAUCUAGAAUAUGGGAGAGGUAGAUGGAAUUUCAGGUGUAGGGGUAAAAUCCGUAGAGAUCAGAAGGAAUACCGAUUGCGAAGGCGAUCUACUAGAACAUUAUUGACGCUGAGACGCGAAAGCGUGGGGAGCAAACAGGAUUAGAUACCCGAGUAGUC